Molecule: ribosomal RNA, 793 nt
Filed under: uncultured archaeon
Lineage: Archaea
Description: bacterial SSU rRNA
Rfam family: Archaeal small subunit ribosomal RNA
Source: RNAcentral
ACUGCUCAGUAACACGUGGACAACCUGCCCUUAGGUUGGGUAUAAACCCGGGAAACUGGGUAUAAUACCCGAUAGGUCUCGAUUGCUGGAAUGCAUCGAGAUUUAAAGCUCCGGCGCCUAAGGAUGGGUCUGCGGCCUAUCAGGUAGUAGUGGGUGUAGCGUACCUACUAGCCUACGACGGGUACGGGUUGUGAGAGCAAGAGCCCGGAGAUGGAUUCUGAGACACGAAUCCAGGCCCUACGGGGUGCAGCAGGCGCGAAAACUUUACAAUGCUGGCAACAGCGAUAAGGGAACCUCGAGUGCCAGGUUACAAAUCUGGCUGUCGAGAUGCCUAAAAAGCAUUUCAUAGCAAGGGCCGGGCAAGACCGGUGCCAGCCGCCGCGGUAACACCGGCGGCUCGAGUGGUAACCGUUAUUAUUGGGUCUAAAGGGUCUGUAGCCGGCCGGAUAAGUCUCUUGAGAAAUCUGGCAGCUUAACUGUCAGGCUUUCAGGAGAUACUGUCUGGCUCGAGGCCGGGAGAGGUGAGAGGUACUUCAGGGGUAGGGGUGAAAUCUUGUAAUCCUUGAAGGACCACCAGUGGCGAAGGCGUCUCACCAGAACGGACCUGACGGCAAGGGACGAAAGCUAGGGGCACGAACCGGAUUAGAUACCCGGGUAGUCCUAGCCGUAAACGAUACUCGCUAGGUGUCGGCCACGGUGCGACCGUUGUCGGUGCCGUAGGGAAGCCAUGAAGCGAGCCACCUGGGAAGUACGGCCGCAAGGCUGAAACUUAAAGGAAUUGGCGGGGGAGCAC